AGUAGCAUUACAGGGUGAGUUCUCCAUUGGCAGGUAGCUAACCAUUAUAUAUGAUACAUUCUUAGUGUGCAAUCUGCCAAAGGAGAUUUGCCCAGCAAUUCUCCU
Non-coding RNA from Cicer arietinum (chickpea), 105 nucleotides. The record is from Rfam. Lineage: Eukaryota; Viridiplantae; Streptophyta; Magnoliopsida; Fabales; Fabaceae.